UCUCCAUGAUGUUCCAAUAGAUCCUGCUGACCUUUCACUAUGUACUCAGAAAGGAUCUGAAGAGAAUCUUUUUACUGAGAGA
Molecule: non-coding RNA, 82 nt
Organism: Xenopus laevis (African clawed frog)
Lineage: Eukaryota; Metazoa; Chordata; Amphibia; Anura; Pipidae
Source: Rfam